Molecule: ribosomal RNA, 520 nt
Filed under: uncultured Acaulospora
Lineage: Eukaryota; Fungi; Glomeromycota; Glomeromycetes; Diversisporales; Acaulosporaceae
Description: SSU rRNA
Rfam family: Eukaryotic small subunit ribosomal RNA
Source: RNAcentral
AGCAGCCGCGGUAAUUCCAGCUCCAAUAGCGUAUAUUAAAGUUGUUGCAGUUAAAAAGCUCGUAGUUGAAUUUCGGGGUUCAUCCGUUGGUCGGGCUUUUUGGUCUGUACUGGCGUGAUGGAUUCCUACCUUCUGAAUAACCAGCAUGUCAUUAAUUUGGUGCGCUGGGGAAGCAGGACUGUUACCUUGAAAAAAUUAGAGUGCUUAAAGCAGGCUAUCGCCUGAAUACAUUAGCAUGGAAUAAUGAAAUAGGACGGCAUGGUUCUAUUUUGUUGGUUUCUAGGAUCACCGUAAUGAUUAAUAGGGAUAGUUGGGGGCAUUAGUAUUCAAUUGUCAGAGGUGAAAUUCUUGGAUUUAUUGAAGACUAACUACUGCGAAAGCAUUUGCCAAGGAUGUUUUCAUUAAUCAAGAACGAAAGUUAGGGGAUCGAAGACGAUCAGAUACCGUCGUAGUCUUAACCAUAAACUAUGCCGACUAGGGAUCGGAUGAUGUUAAUUUUUUAAUGACUCAUUCGGCGCCU